This 599-nucleotide small RNA is filed under the name unidentified. Its description in RNAcentral is "eukaryotic LSU rRNA". It matches the Rfam family "Eukaryotic large subunit ribosomal RNA", at positions 45 to 660 of the family's 3401-position model. The record is from RNAcentral.
CAUUAGCGGAGGAAAAGAAACCAACAGGGAUUGCCUUAGUAGCGGCGAGUGAAGCGGCAAAAGCUCAAAUUUGAAAUCUGGCUCUUUCAGAGUCCGAGUUGUAAUUUGAAGAAGGUAUCUUUGGGUCUGGCUCUUGUCUAUGUUUCUUGGAACAGAACGUCACAGAGGGUGAGAAUCCCGUGCGAUGAGAUGAUCCAGGCCUAUGUAAAGUUCCUUCGAAGAGUCGAGUUGUUUGGGAAUGCAGCUCUAAGUGGGUGGUAAAUUCCAUCUAAAGCUAAAUAUUGGCGAGAGACCGAUAGCGAACAAGUACAGUGAUGGAAAGAUGAAAAGAACUUUGAAAAGAGAGUGAAAAAGUACGUGAAAUUGUUGAAAGGGAAGGGCUUGAGAUCAGACUUGGUAUUUUGUAUGUUACUUCUUCGGGGGUGGCCUCUACAGUUUAUCGGGCCAGCAUCAGUUUGGGCGGUAGGAGAAUUGCGUUGGAAUGUGGCACGGCUUCGGUUGUGUGUUAUAGCCUUCGUCGAUACUGCCAGCCUAGACUGAGGACUGCGGUUUAUACCUAGGAUGUUGGCAUAAUGAUCUUAAGUCGCCCGUCUUGAACC